Tribolium castaneum (red flour beetle) is the source of this 1110-nucleotide RNA transcript. RefSeq lists it as uncharacterized. The transcript has 2 exons. The record is from RefSeq and is a predicted model, not a curated record. Lineage: Eukaryota; Metazoa; Arthropoda; Insecta; Coleoptera; Tenebrionidae.
CUACAUUUCUUGUUGUAAGUUCACUCUUUUUACAGUGUGCCGAUAAAUUAGACUUCUUUAUUGACAUUUUGUCAACUCAGGCGGAAAAAAUUAUUACACCACAGUUGGCCACACGUGUUUGACAUCUUCACUCAAAGUCAAUUCAAAAUUCCCGUAACCAAAAAAUUCACCCAAAAAAAGUAAAUCAAUUAAAAUGCCUUGCUGUAAUUGUGACGAUUGUUCAUCCGACGGCGACUGCUUUCCCCCUGAUUUCGACUCAUUGAAAAAGUGGCACAAAGACUUCAACAACUUGCGGCAGCAAUGGUCCGACUACCAAAUGUGUGGAAAUAAUAAUAACAACAGAACUUCAAAUUGUAAAUGUUGUUGUUGUUGUAAACCAAAACUCGCCAAAGGCCGUUUCGGUCUAGCUUGGAUCUCUGAAACGCCUCAAAAACGAUGUUGUACCCCUUGUGGAUGGCAACUGGAAAUUUGUGACACACCUUCACGCGUUGAAUGUCAGUGUAAGAAAAUGGAACAAUGGGCAAGUUGUCCCCCAGUAGAGGGGUGCAAGUGUUGUCCAUCGAAACCGAAAUGUUGUACACAGAAGCCAAAAUGUUGUACACAGAAGCCUAACUGCUGUACACAGGAACCGAAAUGUUGUACACAGGAACCGAAAUGUUGUACACAGAAGCCUAAGUGUUGUACACAGGAACCAAAAUGUUGUAAAUCGAAGCCUAAAUGUUGUACACCGGAACCUUGCCCAAAACUUCCGUGUUGUUCGAUUAAAGUUAUGCCUUUUACGGCUCGGGAGGAGUGCUGUUGCAAAAACAACAACCAAAACAACUGCAACACUUUUGAUAAAGCGGUCGCAACUGACAAUUGUUGUUGUAGUGAAAAUAAACCUGAUUGUCCUCCGCCGACUGAACAAGCUUGUGUAUGUAAUGAUGAUGAUGAUGACGAUAAUGAUGAUGAGAAAGAAACUAGUGCCAAAAAUGAUACUGAUACUGAUGCUAAUAAUACUCCUACUGUUAAUAAAACGGAUAAGCCACGCAGUCGUUCGAGAAGAAAACGACGAGGCAGAAAAUAAAUAUUCUUUAUUAUUGUCUUGUUUUAAUAAAAAAAAAUAAGAUA